Molecule: ribosomal RNA, 607 nt
Filed under: uncultured bacterium
Lineage: Bacteria
Description: bacterial SSU rRNA
Rfam family: Bacterial small subunit ribosomal RNA
Source: RNAcentral
CCAGACUCCUACGGGAGGCAGCAGUAGGGAAUCUUCGGCAAUGGACGGAAGUCUGACCGAGCAACGCCGCGUGAGUGAAGAAGGUUUUCGGAUCGUAAAGCUCUGUUGUAAGAGAAGAACGAGUGUGAGAGUGGAAAGUUCACACUGUGACGGUAUCUUACCAGAAAGGGACGGCUAACUACGUGCCAGCAGCCGCGGUAAUACGUAGGUCCCGAGCGUUGUCCGGAUUUAUUGGGCGUAAAGCGAGCGCAGGCGGUUAGAUAAGUCUGAAGUUAAAGGCUGCGGCUUAACCAUAGUACGCUUUGGAAACUGUUUAACUUGAGUGCAAGAGGGGAGAGUGGAAUUCCAUGUGUAGCGGUGAAAUGCGUAGAUAUAUGGAGGAACACCGGUGGCGAAAGCGGCUCUCUGGCUUGUAACUGACGCUGAGGCUCGAAAGCGUGGGGAGCAAACAGGAUUAGAUACCCUGGUAGUCCACGCCGUAAACGAUGAGUGCUAGGUGUUAGACCCUUUCCGGGGUUUAGUGCCGUAGCUAACGCAUUAAGCACUCCGCCUGGGGAGUACGACCGCAAGGUUGAAACUCAAAGGAAUUGACGGGGGCCCGCACAAG